CCCCUGUGAACAUACCUAUACGUUGCCUCGGCGGAUCAGCCCGCGCCCCGUAAAACGGGACGGCCCGCCCGAGGACCCCUAAACUCUGUUUUUAGUGGAACUUCUGAGUAAAACAAACAAAUAAAUCAAAACUUUCAACAACGGAUCUCUUGGUUCUGGCAUCGAUGAAGAACGCAGCAAAAUGCGAUAAGUAAUGUGAAUUGCAGAAUUCAGUGAAUCAUCGAAUCUUUGAACGCACAUUGCGCCCGCCAGUAUUCUGGCGGGCAUGCCUGUUCGAGCGUCAUUUCAACCCUCAAGCUCAGCUUGGUGUUGGGACUCGCGGUAACCCGCGUUCCCCAAAUCGAUUGGCGGUCACGUCGAGCUUCCAUAGCGUAGUAAUCAUACACCUCGUUACUGGUAAUCGUCGCGGCCACGCCGUAAAACCCCAACUUCUGAAUGUUGACCUCGGAUCAGGUAGGAAUACCCGCUGAACUUAAGCAUAUCAA
RNAcentral lists this small RNA (485 nucleotides) under Phomopsis asparagi. RNAcentral describes it as "eukaryotic LSU rRNA". The stretch from base 130 to 283 matches the Rfam family "5.8S ribosomal RNA". The record is from RNAcentral. Lineage: Eukaryota; Fungi; Ascomycota; Sordariomycetes; Diaporthales; Diaporthaceae.